This 374-nucleotide ribosomal RNA is filed under the name uncultured bacterium. RNAcentral's name for it is "bacterial SSU rRNA". It matches the Rfam family "Bacterial small subunit ribosomal RNA", at positions 521 to 896 of the family's 1533-position model. The record is from RNAcentral.
UAAAACGUAGGACGCAAGCGUUAUCCGGAGUUACUGGGCGUAAAGCGCGGGCAGGCGGUCUUGCCAGUCUGAUGUGAAAUCUCUCCGCUCAACGGGGAGCAGCCAUUGGAAACUACAAGACUGGAGUCUGACAGAGGUAGGCGGAAUUCCGGGUGGAGUGGUGAAAUGCGUAGAGAUCCGGAGGAACACCAGAGGCGAAGGCGGCCUACUGGGUCAGUACUGACGCUGAGCCGCGAAAGCCAGGGGAGCGAACGGGAUUAGAAACCCCGGUAGUCCUGGCCGUAAACGAUGUGUGCUGGGUGGUGGGGGGUUUCCCUUCACUGCCGAAGCUAACGCGAUAAGCACACCGCCUGGGGAGUACGGUCGCAAGGCUA